This 815-nucleotide ribosomal RNA is filed under the name Palleronia marisminoris. RNAcentral's name for it is "bacterial SSU rRNA". It matches the Rfam family "Bacterial small subunit ribosomal RNA", at positions 57 to 921 of the family's 1533-position model. Lineage: Bacteria; Pseudomonadati; Pseudomonadota; Alphaproteobacteria; Rhodobacterales; Roseobacteraceae. The record is from RNAcentral.
GCAGUCGAGCGCCCCUUUCGGGGGGAGCGGCGGACGGGUGAGUAACGCGUGGGAACGUGCCCUUCUCUACGGAAUAGCCCCGGGAAACUGGGAUUAACGCCGUAUACGCCCUUCGGGGGAAAGAUUUAUCGGGGAAGGAUCGGCCCGCGUCUGAUUAGGUAGUUGGUGGGGUAACGGCCUACCAAGCCGACGAUCAGUAGCUGGUUUGAGAGGAUGAUCAGCCACACUGGGACUGAGACACGGCCCAGACUCCUACGGGAGGCAGCAGUGGGGAAUCUUAGACAAUGGGGGCAACCCUGAUCUAGCCAUGCCGCGUGAGUGACGAAGGCCCUAGGGUCGUAAAGCUCUUUCGCCGGGGAAGAUAAUGACGGUACCCGGAAAAGAAGUCCCGGCUAACUCCGUGCCAGCAGCCGCGGUAAUACGGAGGGGACUAGCGUUGUUCGGAAUUACUGGGCGUAAAGCGCGCGUAGGCGGAUUACUCAGUCAGGGGUGAAAUCCCGGGGCUCAACCCCGGAACUGCCCUUGAUACUGGUAGUCUGGAGUUCUGGAGAGGUGAGUGGAAUUCCGAGUGUAGAGGUGAAAUUCGUAGAUAUUCGGAGGAACACCAGUGGCGAAGGCGGCUCACUGGCCAGAUACUGACGCUGAGGUGCGAAAGUGUGGGGAGCAAACAGGAUUAGAUACCCUGGUAGUCCACACCGUAAACGAUGAAUGCCAGACGUCGGGCAUCAUGCUGUUCGGUGUCACACCUAACGGAUUAAGCAUUCCGCCUGGGGAGUACGGCCGCAAGAUAAAACUCAAAGGAAUUGACGGGGGCC